RNAcentral lists this ribosomal RNA (253 nucleotides) under uncultured bacterium. RNAcentral's name for it is "partial 16S ribosomal RNA". It matches the Rfam family "Bacterial small subunit ribosomal RNA", at positions 524 to 776 of the family's 1533-position model. The record is from RNAcentral.
UACGUAUGGUGCAAGCGUUAUCCGGAUUUACUGGGUGUAAAGGGAGCGCAGGCGGUCUGGCAAGUCUGAUGUGAAAGCCCGGGGCUCAACUCCGGGAUUGCAUUGGAAACUGUCAGACUAGAGUGUCGGAGAGGUAAGUGGAAUUCCUAGUGUAGCGGUGAAAUGCGUAGAUAUUAGGAGGAACACCAGUGGCGAAGGCGGCUUACUGGACGAUAACUGACGCUGAGGCUCGAAAGCGUGGGGAGCAAACAGG